This 118-nucleotide ribosomal RNA is filed under the name Lepisosteus oculatus (spotted gar). The record is from RNAcentral. Lineage: Eukaryota; Metazoa; Chordata; Actinopteri; Semionotiformes; Lepisosteidae.
UCUAGCAGCUAUAUAACCCUGCAAAUCACAACUAGCAGCCCACUAAGGCUCAGCAAGUAUGAGCCUGGCUGGUACCCAGAUGGGAGACCUCCUGGGAAAGCUAAGGUUGCUGCUGGAA